Molecule: non-coding RNA, 481 nt
Organism: Mus caroli (Ryukyu mouse)
Lineage: Eukaryota; Metazoa; Chordata; Mammalia; Rodentia; Muridae
Source: RefSeq, a predicted model, not a curated record
GUUCCCUCGGGGCCUGGAGGAUGUGUCUCCAUACUCAGUGCUCAUAGAGGAGUUGCUGAAACGAAGCUGGAAUGAACAGGAACUCCAAGGCAUCCUUCGAGGAAACCUGCUUCGGGUCUUCCGACAGGUGGAACAGGUACAAGAGAAAAACAAAUGGCAAAGUCCCCUGCAAGACAUGAUUCCGGAGGAGCAGCUGGACAGUGCUUGCCACUCAGUCCUGCAACAUCAGAAACAGUAUCCAGAAAAGAACCAACCAGAGACUCCGGAAUAUCAUAUACUCAAGUUAUCACCCAAGUUCUCACACUCAGAAUCCUCUCCCCACAUAGUCCCAAGCCUCACCAUUGUUGUGACCUUUUUAGGCCUUAUCGUAUGACUUUUAGAGGACACCCAGUCCUCUCCGAUAUCAUUCUGGUACCCUGAAAGUCCCUCCACUUGUGCAGGGGCAAAUAUUUCCUAGAAGUAAAUGCUUUGGACAUAGAAA